This 69-nucleotide transfer RNA is filed under the name Schizodactylus jimo. RNAcentral describes it as "tRNA-Gln". Lineage: Eukaryota; Metazoa; Arthropoda; Insecta; Orthoptera; Schizodactylidae. The record is from RNAcentral.
UAUGUCUAGGUGUAUGAUGCACAAGGGUUUUUGAUACCCUAGGGGAUAGUUUAAAUCUAUUAGAUAUAA